UUGUUGGUAAGGUAAAAGCUUACCAAGGCUUCGAUCAGUAGCUGGUCUGAGAGGACGACCAGCCACACUGGGACUGAGACACGGCCCAGACUCCUGCGGGAGGCAGCAGUGGGGAAUUUUGGACAAUGGGGGCAACCCUGAUCCAGCCAUGCCGCGUGAGUGAAGAAGGCCUUCGGGUUGUAAAGCUCUUUCAGCCGGAACGAAACGGUUACGGUUAAUACCCGUGACUACUGACGGUACCGGAAGAAGAAGCACCGGCUAACUACGUGCCAGCAGCCGCGGUAAUACGUAGGGUGCGAGCGUUAAUCGGAAUUACUGGGCGUAAAGCGUGCGCAGGUGGUUUUGUAAGUCAGAUGUGAAAGCCCCGGGCUCAACCUGGGAACUGCGUUUGAAACUACAAGACUAGAGUGUGGCAGAGGGGGGUGGAAUUCCGCGUGUAGCAGUGAAAUGCGUAGAGAUGUGGAGGAACACCGAUGGCGAAGGCAGCCCCCUGGGUCAACACUGACGCUCAGGCACGAAAGCAUGGGGAGCAAACAGGAUUAGAUACCCUGGUAGUCCAUGCCCUAAACGAUGUCAACUAGUUGUCGGGCCUUUACGGGCUUGGUAACGUAGCUAACGCGUGAAGUUGACCGCCUGGGGAGUACGAUCGCAAGAUUAAAACUCAAAUGAAUUGACAGGGACCCGCACAAGCGGUGGAUUAUGUGGAUUAAUUCGAUGCAACGCGAAAAACCUUACCUACCCUUGACAUGUAUCGAAGCCCGCAGAAAAGCGGGGGUGCCCGAAAGGGAACGAUAACACAGGUGCUGCAUGGCUGUCGUCAGCUCGUGUCGUGAGAUGUUGGGUUAAGUCCCGCAACGAGCGCAACCCUUGUCAUUAAUUGCCAUCAUUUAGUUGGGCACUUUAAUGAGACUGCCGG
This 916-nucleotide ribosomal RNA is filed under the name uncultured bacterium. RNAcentral's name for it is "bacterial SSU rRNA". It matches the Rfam family "Bacterial small subunit ribosomal RNA", at positions 246 to 1155 of the family's 1533-position model. The record is from RNAcentral.